CGGACGGGUGAGUAACGCGUGGGUAACCUGCCUCGUACAGGGGGACAACAGUUGGAAACGACUGCUAAUACCGCAUAAGCGCACGAUACUGCAUGGUAUUGUGUGAAAAACUGAGGUGGUACGAGAUGGACCCGCGUCUGAUUAGCUGGUUGGUGGGGUAACGGCCUACCAAGGCGACGAUCAGUAGCCGACCUGAGAGGGUGACCGGCCACAUUGGGACUGAGACACGGCCCAAACUCCUACGGGAGGCAGCAGUGGGGAAUAUUGCACAAUGGGGGAAACCCUGAUGCAGCGACGCCGCGUGAAGGAAGAAGUAUUUCGGUAUGUAAACUUCUAUCAGCAGGGAAGAAAAUGACGGUACCUGAGUAAGAAGCCCCGGCUAACUACGUGCCAGCAGCCGCGGUAAUACGUAGGGGGCAAGCGUUAUCCGGAUUUACUGGGUGUAAAGGGAGCAUAGACGGUAAUGUAAGUCUGAUGUGAAAGCCCGGGGCUCAACCCCGGGACUGCAUUGGAAACUAUGUAACUAGAGUACCGGAGAGGUAAGCGGAAUUCCUAGUGUAGCGGUGAAAUGCGUAGAUAUUAGGAGGAACACCAGUGGCGAAGGCGGCUUACUGGACGGAAACUGACGUUGAGGCUCGAAAGCGUGGGGAGCAAACAGGAUUAGAUACCCUGGUAGUCCACGCCGUAAACGAUGACUACUA
Molecule: ribosomal RNA, 701 nt
Filed under: uncultured bacterium
Lineage: Bacteria
Description: bacterial SSU rRNA
Rfam family: Bacterial small subunit ribosomal RNA
Source: RNAcentral